This is a long non-coding RNA of Sphaerodactylus townsendi, 383 nucleotides long. RefSeq lists it as uncharacterized. The transcript has 3 exons. The record is from RefSeq and is a predicted model, not a curated record. Lineage: Eukaryota; Metazoa; Chordata; Lepidosauria; Squamata; Sphaerodactylidae.
GUUAUGAGAUCUGUCCCUUUAACAGGGGCGGAGUUAAGAGAACCAGGAAACAGAGGUCCAUUGAGGCUGGCUCAGAGAAAUGCAAGGCGAGCACACUCCAGCCCCACUGUGCAGCUAAAAGGCCCAAGGUUGGUCCAUUCAAUUACAAAAGAUGUAACAACAUAUAUUGCAGGUGAAAGUAUCCAGGACACAAUUACACAGCUGCUGUUUAUUGGAUAGGCACUAACAGAUUUCACAAUGUUGACUGACAAAAACAAAAAGAGAUCAUGAAGUUUCUAUGAGAGGCAUUAGAUCCUACCGCGAACUAAUCGCAUCACUUGCAAACAAACGUCAGGGCUACCCUUGGAAGGAAACUUGACAGUAAGGAGAGAGAGCUCAACAAA